This is a long non-coding RNA of Phyllostomus discolor (pale spear-nosed bat), 1102 nucleotides long. RefSeq lists it as uncharacterized. NCBI's taxonomy places the organism in Eukaryota, Metazoa, Chordata, Mammalia, Chiroptera, Phyllostomidae. The transcript has 3 exons. The record is from RefSeq and is a predicted model, not a curated record.
AUGCCCGGUAUCCACACUCCAGGCCCCUGGGGCCGCACCUCCUCUCUCUUUCGACUGCCACACGCGCGGGACCUCCACAUCUACAAGUGGGGUUGGGGGACUGCUCUCCGUCUCGCCAGGGGCCCUGCCUCGACAUUCGCAGAGGACUUGGGGAGUGUGGUGGGGGAGAUCCUAGCUUCAGCCGCACCGCAAAUGCCGCACCCGCGUCGCGCCACGAGGGAGAGCGUGGGCUCAGCUUGUGGCGCCUGGAGCGUCUGACUAGAACAGAGUUGGGGGAGAGGGUGGAAAUCCCCGGAACAAAGCCACGUCCCCUCAGAGGAACUGAAGAAGACUACUCGAAGAAACUGAGGCAGAGAGCCAGAUGUGUAGAUGGUGAACGAGUAUCUUCCUCCGGAGACCCGCCCCUUUGGCUUGGAGGCUCCGCGGCGUACAGCACCUUUUGCCCCGCCUGAGUCAGCCAAGAGGGGCGCCCUACCCAUCUCCUACACACUCCCCAAACUCCCGGGGCAAGCUGUCCUGACUUCCAGUCUCCGGUCAAAGCGCUCGGAUUCCGCCUUUUCGCUACUAACUUCCUGCCGCCGGCCCCUCCUGUGAGAACCUGCUAGAGCGUGACGUCACUCAGCCCCGUGACUUUACGUUGCUCCUGGCCAGGUGGCCUGAACCUGAAACAACAGUCUCCAAGUACAGGUGUACUCUUGGCCCAUCGCUGGGACUCUGGAAUUGGAGGACAGCAUGGGAUCCCCUUUAUUUAUUCAACAAGGAGCCAUGAAGCACCUACUAUGUGUCAACGCAGUAAAUAGGCAUUAAGUGCCUAUCCUGUGUUCAUUUAAAAAAGAAUCAAGUUCCUACCAAGUGCCACGCCCUGUCCCAAAUACAGAACUGUUUUCAGCAGUGACAGGAUCUCAGAAUUCAGGCACUGCCUUCUCUCCCCUAGAAGACUGGAUGCAACCAACAGCCUACCUUGCCUUUGUCCAUGGCUGUCCUGCUCUUGCUGCCCAUUGACCAGCAAGCCCAGGUUGGGCCCUGCCUGGCAAGUUGGGGCCAAUACUCUAUCUGGUUCUUUUUCUUUUUGAGAGAGAGAGAAACAUUGAUUUGUUGUUCU